GAUGAACGCUGGCGGCGUGCCUAAUACAUGCAAGUCGAGCGAACAGACGAGGAGCUUGCUCCUCGGACGUUAGCGGCGGACGGGAGAGUAACACGUGGAUAACCUACCUAUAAGACUGGGAUAACUUCGGGAAACCGGAGCUAAUACCGUAUAAGAUAUUGAACCGCAGGGUUCAAUGGUAAAAGUCGGUUUUUCUGUCACUUAUAGAUGGAUCCGCGCCGCAUUAGCUAGUUGGUAAGGUAACGGCUUACCAAGGCAACGAUGCGUAGCCGAACGGAGAGGGUGGUCGGCCACACGAGAGCGGAGACGCGGUCAAGACUACUGCGGGACGCAGCAGUAGGGUAUGUUACGCAGUGGGCGAAAGCAUGACGGAGCAACGCCGCGCGAGUGAUGAAGGUCUUCGGAUCGUAAAACUCUGUUAUUAGGGAAGAACAAAUGUGUAAGUAAAUAUGCACGUAUUGACGGUACCUGGUCAGAAAGCAACGGCUAACUACGUG
Molecule: ribosomal RNA, 497 nt
Filed under: uncultured bacterium
Lineage: Bacteria
Description: partial 16S ribosomal RNA
Rfam family: Bacterial small subunit ribosomal RNA
Source: RNAcentral